AUGUGGGGAGAGCGCUCCCUCUCGGCUUCCCGCAGCUGGCCCUUAGAGAUCCCCUGGCGCCCCACAGUCUUCUCUUUCGAGGGACCCCUCACCUGCCCCAGGGUGGCCACUGACAACCGUCUCAAGUGGUGUCCCCGCUUCCUGAGCCCCUUUGACACCGCCCUCGCGGUCCCUCUGAGUCCCGGCCCCGGGCUGUUCCUACACUUCGCCUCGGCGCUUGGGGUGGGACCGGAAGGAGUCCUAGGUGCCGAUCCUCCUCUCUCCCCAUCUGUGUGUGCCGCUGUGGAUCCUUUUCUGCUCUCUUAUAUGCGACGGUCCCCGCGGCUGACGCCUCUGCUCCAGUCCCUCCUGCCCCACCAGGUCUGGUUAUCCUUCUGGGGUUAUUGGAUCCCCACCCCCAAACCCCCACCACAUCAAAGCAGGCUGCAGGGGGCAUUGGGAGAAGCCAGAGAAAGAUACCGAUCGACCCAGCCAUCCGGUUCACUCAGGUCAGUGGGACAGCCCUUCUUUGUUGGCCCAAACCUGAAUCUAGAACUCUUCGUUCUAGCACGUUCUUUCUCCCCAGGCUUGCAUUUUCAGUCUUUUGACUCUAAAUGGAUGCUUUUGUCUCCAUUUAAAGGAAUCCCAGGAAUUAUAUUCCUGUUAUCAUUUUUCUUUCAUCUCUCCACGGUCCCUUGCGUCUUUCCCUUUUAUCUGUAUAUUCCACUCACUUCACCUGCCCCUAGAAUUAGUCAUUCCAUUCUGUUGAUCUUAUGUUGUUACCUGUCCUUGGAAAGAAAAAAAAAAAAGGUGGUUUUGCUGACUUGCAUUUUAACUUUGUGUCAAAAGAAUUGUAUUAUUUCUCAAGUUUUUUUUUCAUUCGGUGCUAGGAUUUCAAGAUCAAUACGCAUAGGUGUCUCUUCUAAGGCUGUGCUUAUCCACCCAAUUUUACUUUUCCCAUCUCCUGCCAUGACCUAUGGUCCACUCCUCCCUCUCAAACAUAUCCCUUUUUGUGCAAAGCUUCUCAAACAUUUGUGUCCAUGUGUAUCACUCGGGAUCCCGUUAAAAUGCAGGUUCAGAUUCCGCAAGCCUGGGGUGGGGCCUGACAUUCUGCAUUUCUAG
This 1101-nucleotide long non-coding RNA is filed under the name Suricata suricatta (meerkat). RNAcentral describes it as "lncRNA (ENSSSUG00005012679.1)". Lineage: Eukaryota; Metazoa; Chordata; Mammalia; Carnivora; Herpestidae. The record is from RNAcentral.